Molecule: ribosomal RNA, 489 nt
Filed under: uncultured bacterium
Lineage: Bacteria
Description: partial 16S ribosomal RNA
Rfam family: Bacterial small subunit ribosomal RNA
Source: RNAcentral
GAUGAACGCUAGCGGCAGGCUUAAUACAUGCAAGUCGAGGGGCAGCAGGACUGUAGCAAUACAGUUGCUGGCGACCGGCACACGGGUGCGGAACACGUACGCAACCUACCCAAAACUGGGGGAUAGCCCGGGGAAACCCGGAUUAAUACCUCGUAACCUUUUUAAGUGGCAUCACUUGAUAAGUAUAGCUCCGGCGGUUUUGGAUGGGCGUGCGCCUGAUUAGGUAGUUGGUGCGGGUAACGGCCCACCAAGCCUGCGAUCAGUAACUGGUGUGAGAGCACGACCAGUCACACGGGCACUGAGACACGGGCCCGACUCCUACGGGAGGCAGCAGUAAGGAAUAUUGGUCAAUGGACGCAAGUCUGAACCAGCCAUGCCGCGUGAAGGAGGAAGGUCCUCUGGAUUGUAAACUUCUUUUAUGGGGGACGAAACCCGGAUAUUCUUAUCCGAUUGACGGUACCUCAGGAAUAAGCACCGGCUAACUCCGUG